GAGUUUGAUCAUGGCUCAGAACGAACGCUGGCGGCAGGCCUAACACAGCAAGUCGAACGAACCGUGCUCUUCGGAGCACUAUGUUAGUGGCGCACGGGUGAGUAACACGUGGGAACGUACCCUGUAGUACGGAAUAACCCAGGGAAACUUGGGCUAAUACCGCAUACGCCCUUAGGGGGAAAGAUUUAUCGCUAUAGGAUCGGCCCGCGUCUGAUUAGGUAGUUGGUAGGGUAACGGCCUACCAAGCCGACGAUCAGUAGCUGGUCUGAGAGGAUGAUCAGCCACACUGGGACUGAGACACGGCCCAGACUCCUACGGGAGGCAGCAGUGGGGAAUAUUGGACAAUGGGGGCAACCCUGAUCCAGCCAUGCCGCGUGAGUGAAGAAGGCCUUCGGGUUGUAAAGCUCUUUCGACGGGGACGAUGAUGACGGUACCCGUAUAAGAAGCCCCGGCUAACUUCGUGCCAGCAGCCGCGGUAAUAC
This 482-nucleotide ribosomal RNA is filed under the name uncultured bacterium. RNAcentral describes it as "bacterial SSU rRNA". It matches the Rfam family "Bacterial small subunit ribosomal RNA", at positions 9 to 526 of the family's 1533-position model. The record is from RNAcentral.